Molecule: long non-coding RNA, 260 nt
Organism: Papilio xuthus (Asian swallowtail)
Lineage: Eukaryota; Metazoa; Arthropoda; Insecta; Lepidoptera; Papilionidae
Exons: 2
Source: RefSeq, a predicted model, not a curated record
GACAACGGUUAGGACAUUUGUAAGAGAUAACAACACUCUUUGGAUAUACAUAAUUUAAAUAAACUACAAAGUGGUAAAGUGUUUCCGAGAACAUGAAAUUCUUGAAAUGAAUUUUUAAAUUUAAAGUGAAUCAACUUAAUAUUGUGGUUCAGUUUAAGUGUAAACUUGUAAAAUAAUAUAUAAAAAUACUCAAUGAGGUGGCUACCUACAUUUUUGUCUAUACGCUGUUGGGGCAGAUUUGGCUGCAACUAAAAUAAGGU